GAUCUAUUAGUUUAGAGAGAACACCAUAAUUUCAAUAUGGAAGAGGAUAAAUCCAUAGAUAA
RNAcentral lists this transfer RNA (62 nucleotides) under Linognathus vituli. Its description in RNAcentral is "tRNA-Glu". The record is from RNAcentral. Lineage: Eukaryota; Metazoa; Arthropoda; Insecta; Psocodea; Linognathidae.